AGAAUUCACAAUUCACCUCAGUAAGUGAUGUAGCUGUAGCUAGGACUAGGACUGGGACUAGGACAGGGACUAGGACUGGGACUAGGACUGGGACUAGGACUGGCAGAGAUGGUCAACUAGGGUUUAUUACAGGUUAUUUAUCACCAACCCUGAGUUAGACAGGCCUACAACGCUCUGCUGCUAACUGGUAUAUCACAUCACCCAGAGAGAGAGAGGACAGAGAGAGGUGAGAGGACAGAGAGAGAGAGAGGUGAGAGGACAGAGAGAGAGAGGUGAGAGGACAGAGAGAGAGAGAGAGGUGAGAGAGAGAGGACAGAGAAAGAGAGGAGGGAGAGAGAGAGGUGAGAGAGACAAGAGGACAAAGAGAGAGAGAGAGGUGAGAGGACAGAGAGAGAGGAGGGAGAGACAGAGAGGACAGAGAGAGUCCUGGGGAACAUGUAGUGUACAAGUGCACUGCCAUUAAAUGACUGACAUUUCACUGAAAUACUGUAGGUGAUGAAACGAUUGGAGUCAUAGACAAAAUGUCUGUUUUUUUUAUGGAAGC
Oncorhynchus tshawytscha (Chinook salmon) is the source of this 544-nucleotide long non-coding RNA. The record is from Ensembl. Lineage: Eukaryota; Metazoa; Chordata; Actinopteri; Salmoniformes; Salmonidae.